AACCAGACUCCUACGGGAGGCAGCAGUGGGGGAUAUUGCACAAUGGGGGGAACCCUGAUGCAGCGACGCCGCGUGGGUGAAGGAGUGCUUCGGCAUGUAAAGCCCUAUCGGCAGGGAAGAAGCAAGACGGUGCCUGACUAAGAAGCCCCGGCUAACUACGUGCCAGCAGCCGCGGGAAUACGUAGGGGGCGAGCGUUAUCCGGAUUCCCUGGGGGUAAAGGGAGCGUAGACGGCCAAGCAAGCCAGGGGUGAGAGCCCGGGGGCCAACCCCGGGACUGCCCUUGGAACUGCGGGGCUGGAGUGCGGGAGGGGCAGGCGGAAUUCCUGGUGUAGCGGUGAAAUGCGUAGAUAUCAGGAGGAACACCGGGGGCGAAGGCGGCCUGCUGGACCGCGACUGACGUUGAGGCUCGAAAGCGUGGGGAGCGAACAGGAGUAGAUACCCUCGUAAA
RNAcentral lists this ribosomal RNA (449 nucleotides) under uncultured bacterium. Its description in RNAcentral is "bacterial SSU rRNA". It matches the Rfam family "Bacterial small subunit ribosomal RNA", at positions 329 to 794 of the family's 1533-position model. The record is from RNAcentral.